AGCGAGAGGCUGGAGAGCGCGACCCGCCUGCGCUCUACAGGGCGGGAGAGCCCCCGAGGCCUCCCCAGCACACCCGCGGCUUUGUCCGCGGAGGAGACGCCGCGGAGCCUCAAGCCUGAAGUCCAGGGGCUCCGCAGAUGCACUUCGAGGGCCUGUCAGUGCCUGUUUAGUCUUGCAAUAUGGAAAGCAAAAUGUCAUAUAUGCGUUUUAUCUUAGGAGAGCAUUCGCGGCUUCUAUAUAGUCUCAGAAGCUUAAGUUCAUUGUCUUUUAGAAUGAAACCCCCAGGAUCUUCCCCACACCAAGCUCCCAGGAAGGGCUGAGCGUCUGUCCUCACCAGCCAUCUCAUCUACUCCCUGGAGGGGUGCGUGCGGGAAAGGGGAUGAUGUUCUUAUUCUGAUCAGACUCCAGCUUGGUCCUUCCCAGUGUGGGGAGGGGCUGUAGGAAGGAGAGCAGUGACCUGGAGUAAUCCCAGGGGGAAAUCUGAAAUAAUUCUUAGAAGGAGGUCGUGGGAAAGAGUUUUGGGACAGUUCUUUUUUUUUCGUUAGAAAAGGACUUGGUAGGGCAGAGGGGGUUAUUUGGACUUCCAGGCUGGGUGUUCUCCCAGGACCCUGCUGGGGACCCAGACUGUCCCUCUCCCAGGCGGCCACGGUGGGUUCAUAUUUGGCCAUGGUUCCUGUACUGGCCCCUAGAGGCCAGAGCAGUAAGCCCCUACUGUGUAUCCUCUGCCCAGGUGUUCUAGUAGUGGCGAGAGUCAUGACAUCAUGCCCAUUUGCCCGCCAGGGGACCAAAACUGAAAGGAUCAAGGAGGUGUUUGGGUGGGUGAUCCCAAGAGGAUUUGGCAUGAGCCAACUUCCCUUGCAGAUGAAGGUCCAUCGAACAGUGACACUCCAACCUCUGCUCCAUCCCUCUCAAGACGUUGAGUCCCAGAGGAGAUGUCCAGGGUCUCUUGGGCUCAGUUGCUCUGUAGGUGAUGAUUAGUAUUUACCGAAUGAUGAUAAUGGCGGGCCUGCACAGUAUUUGUAAUAAAAUGAACAGUUAUCCUCUGAAAUGAAGGACAAAUCAUAAUGACAAGUUUUUGAGUCCUCUCUGCCACUAUCGCAGAAUUCCAGAACCUUAGAAUUAGGAGGCACAACCUCCAAUGAAGUCCUUAUCCCCACCAUAGCCUCUGUUAAUUGCUUGUCAGUUCUGUUCUUGUCUGACAUCUGUAUGGAUGGGGGCCUUCUUGUCAUUCCCUGGGGAUCUGCUUCUAAGGUGGGUCAGCUCCGGUGGUAGGAAGAAUCUUGUGCUAAACUGAAACAUUCCCUAUAACUGCUCCCCAGAGCCCCACAGAUCUGCUCUGCGCAUGUUAAUUCUUCACGUACAAAGGCUUUGCCUACUGUUUUUGUUUUUCCAACUGAACAUCUGAAAUUAUUUCAUAAUUUCCCUAGCUGGUGCUCUCCGCUGUAUUGCCCUGCUAGCCCAGCUCCUCUGCCACAAUGACAAUGACUCUGCCACAGUGAAGCAGCCCACAGUAUAUGGAUUGCUAGGAGCAGUCUGUAGCUUGAUCUGGGGUGGUGGUUACUAUCAGGACUCAAAGAAUAAUACCCUCCCCCAAUUUUGCAUUUUUUUGGCAUGCUAAGCAAUUUAACCUAAAGAAAAUUUAAAAACCUGAAAAGAAGGCUCAGAAUCCAUAUCACUAUAGUUGGAUGUGUGUGUGUGUGUGUGUGUGUGUUGUGUGUGUGUGUGUGGAUGUGUGUAUGCUGGAUAUUGAACCCAGGGCUUCAUAUGUUAAGCAUAUGCUCUACCACUGAGCUAUAUCACCAGCUCCUCCUGCAACCUGUCUUGUUUCUCUUCCCUCCAGUGCACAGAGAGGGGCUGUGGAAUUCCCUUAUCAGCAUUAAGACCAUACUGCAGAAGGGAACCCAGUUACUUUCUAUCUUCACCCUGAAAUCCUGUCAUUUGGCUCAGAAAAGAAAACUGAGAAAUGUAACAUACCUGGAUGGACUUUUGUGACAAGCUAAUGUCUGUUCUUUGGGUUCUUUCAGAUUCCAAGAGAGUGUCUCCACUCAUUCCCCCCAAAAUCCUUUAAAAGUCCUCAGAAUUCACCUACAUUGCUUGUAUUUCCCAUUCAUUCUAAGAAAAAAGGGGGUAAGUUCCUGAAUAAUAUUAAGCAUGUGGCAUGCUAUGGUUUCCCACUUAUGCAGGUGAGUAAAUUUGUACACUUUUUCUCCCAUUUAAAAAAAUUUUUAAAAACAUUUUUUUGGUUGUCAAUGGACUUUUAUUUUAUUUAUUUAUAUGUGGUGCUGAGAAUUGAACCCAGGGCCUCACACAUGCUAUCAAGCGCUCAGUCAUUGAGCCGCAACCCCAAGCACCUUUUCUCCCAUUGACAAAGGUCAAUUUAUUCCCGCAAACUUCCAGGGGACAGAGGGAAGACUCUCUUCAUCCCUACAUUACCGAAGUGUCAAUGUAUAUGAAAAUUCACUAGACUGCACACUUAAGAUUUUUGCACUCAGUUGUUUGUAAGUUAUGCUGCAAUAAAAUAGUAAGAAACAAAAAUAACAAGCAAAAAUGAAGUGAGGCACUCCACUGUGAAUACAAGACUCAGUCCCUUUAGAGGCAAAAGACCUGUUUGGUGCUGGCACUGAAGGAGACCUUGGGAUGAGACAAGCAGGUAAGGAAUCCAUGUAGCAAUGGGGUUCUGUAUGAGGGAUGGUUUGAAAGCCAGGAGAGGAAGUGUCUAAUUCUACCUAGAAAGUUCCAUGGAGAGGUGACUUGGGACUUGGGUCAGGAAAGACUUUGCUUAUUCACUCUCUUUCUUUAUCUUUUCUUUUUUCCAGUAUCACACAGUAUUGACCUCCUGUUGAUCAAUUUAAACUCAGAAACCAUGGAAGCAAAAAAACUGGAUUUGGGGUCUGAGAACUGCAGUUCUAGAAAGCACAGAAUCAGAUGGCUCUGAAUGAGUGCUCCAAAGAAACUCAGAUUAGCCAGGACUUUAAAAGGGAAGGAGAAACUGAGGACCAAGUGGCGUCAGGGAGAGAGAGGGCAAAUGCACGUGGCUGACCGUCUGGCUUUGAAUGGAAAUCUAUCCCCUCCUGACCUGGGAGAAUGAAACAAAUGAGAAUUUCACCAUCAUCAUAAACGUCUCUACCCUUCAGAAAAUGGAAGCUUCCAGAACCCGAGGGGCUCUUUCUUUCUCUGCUCGGCUGCUUUCGUUUCAUCAGUGUCUUCGCCUGGGUUCAUGUCAGAUGCAGCUUCCUGGUUACCCUUGUCAGAGACCUCUGUGACCUCACCUCCAAAUGCUCCUGUGUGAAGUCCACAGUGUUUCUUGAGCUCGUGGCUCCAGCUCCAUCAACUGCCCUUGUCCAGGGGUUCUGUCCCACUGGUAGCACCAGGCGAGCUUCUUCUGUCCUAUGGCAGGAGCCUCCUAACUGGGUCCUUCCUACCCUCCCUUAAUCCAUCCUUUCAGGUUCUAACUUCAGACCUGAUUAUGUCUCAAAUUUAUGUCAAAACAGAGACAUUUUAAAGCAAUGAGCAUCCUCUUUGGAGGGCUAUUUGACAAUAUCCAUCAAAAUUGCGACUGUAUGGGGCUGGGGAUAUAGCUCAAUUGAUAGGGUGCUUGCCUCGAAUGCACAAGACCCUGGGUUCAAUCCCCAGCACCAAAAAAAAAAAAAAAAAAA
Non-coding RNA from Ictidomys tridecemlineatus (thirteen-lined ground squirrel), 3656 nucleotides. The record is from RefSeq and is a predicted model, not a curated record. NCBI's taxonomy places the organism in Eukaryota, Metazoa, Chordata, Mammalia, Rodentia, Sciuridae.